Molecule: long non-coding RNA, 256 nt
Filed under: Rattus norvegicus (Norway rat)
Lineage: Eukaryota; Metazoa; Chordata; Mammalia; Rodentia; Muridae
Description: long non-coding RNA NONRATT031981
Source: RNAcentral
CAGGUUUUCUCUUUAGUUCAUUCGGAGACUCAUCUGGUUUAUGGGGAAAUUCCAGUAGAAGUAACGUGAAUUAAGAGCUUUAAGUCCUUAGCAUGUGCCUGGUGAUUCCAACGUGGUCAGGCAAGCAGCACAACCACAGGAGCUCCACAGGGUACCACGGGAUCUUGGCUCAGCAACAGCUCUCAUGAGUUCACCUGCUCCUGGCACGGAGAAGAGUUCUGGAAAUCUUGACGCGGCUUGGGAAGACAAUGUGAAA